This 497-nucleotide ribosomal RNA is filed under the name uncultured bacterium. RNAcentral describes it as "partial 16S ribosomal RNA". It matches the Rfam family "Bacterial small subunit ribosomal RNA", at positions 28 to 507 of the family's 1533-position model. The record is from RNAcentral.
GAUGAACGCUGGCGGCGUGCCUAAUACAUGCAAGUCGAGCGAACGGACGAGAAGCUUGCUUCUCUGAUGUUAGCGGCGGACGGGUGAGUAACACGUGGAUAGCCUACCUAUAAGACUGGGAUAACUUCGGGAAACCGGAGCUAAUACCGGAUAAUAUUUUGAACCGCAUGGUUCAAAAGUGAAAGACGGUCUUGCUGUCACUUAUAGAUGGAUCCGCGCUGCAUUAGCUAGUUGGUAAGGUAACGGCUUACCAAGGCAACGAUGCAUAGCCGACCUGAGAGGGUGAUCGGCCACACUGGAACUGAGACACGGUCCAGACUCCUACGGGAGGCAGCAGUAGGGAAUCUUCCGCAAUGGGCGAAAGCCUGACGGAGCAACGCCGCGUGAGUGAUGAAGGUCCUCGGAUCGUAAAACUCUGUUAUUAGGGAAGAACAUAUGUGUAAGUAACUGUGCACAUCUUGACGGUACCUAAUCAGAAAGCCACGGCUAACUACGUG